ACAUGGCUAUGAUUGGUUAUAUGAGUUUGUGAAAUUACAAACCUAAUUUCUGGGUGGUGUCAAAGAUGGGAUUACCUGAAACGGAUUCCCACGUUGCUUUGUGAUUUGGUGAUUAUGGUUCUUGACUUCUCUAAGAGAGGAAUAAAAGUGCCACACUCACUAAUGACCAAAUUGGUCAGUUCCACUCAUAUGCCCCCUAUAGCCUCUUUACCAUCUAGCCUUUCCAGAGUUAACCUAUUGUAAAAUUAGAUUGUAAAAAUGGACAGAGUGGCCACCACUCUGGGAUAAGGGUGAAGGACUCAUGGUGUCAUCCCCACUAAAUACUCCAGUGGAAAUUAUCACUUAAUUAUUUGUGAUAUCACCCAGCUCCCCAAAGAGCUGGCCUUCCUUUUCAGCCCCAGUUAUCUUUUGGAAGUGUAACUCUUUCAGUUUGAUUGUCCUGGGAACACAUGCAGUUUUCUCUUGAUGGGGAAACCCCUCUCUGAAGGUCUGCGUUUUAAGUGGCAGAGAUGCAAAAACAGCCUUCUAGACAGAGUUUCUAAUUGAAUUCUCCUCUAUACCGUUAUCCAUAAACUGAGUAAUGCAUCCAAGGAAGAAGAGAGGAUGAGAGAGGUCAGGAAGUUUAGAUUCCAGUAAAAUUUAAAUAGCCACUGAAUUUGCCAUAGCAAAACAUGAGCUAUGAUUCUGUUAGUACACAGGAAAAGUCAAUUAGGUGAACUGAUUUUUUAUGGUGUUGGGAAUAUUAUAAUUCAGGGAUUCUUAACCUAUAGCUUAACCUAUAGGCAAUUUAAGACUAGAUUUCAGGGGUAGGGCAGUGAAACUUCUAAAAUUGCUGUAACAUUUUUUAUUAAGUCAUAGGCAGUUUCCUAGGGAGAGGCUUUUAUCAAAUUCUCAGAAGGGUCCACUGCCAUAAAAGAUUAAGGAACCACUGCAUUCUAUCAUCAUAAUUUUUUGUCUUCUUUCAAAAGUUGAUAUUCUGGUUUUUUUUAUGCAGAAAAGACAAAAGCAUGUACAACUCUGAUAUUUCAUGAUCUUUAAUUUCUUCCCCCUCCUGGAUGUCCUAUAAUAAAUGUACAGGAAAGAAAUAUAAAACGCUAUCCAAACUCAGUUAAUAGCUCUGAGAAAUGCACACUCAGAGUGCUUUAAAAUCAGGUUACAAAUAUCAUUUUCAAUUUGCUGGGGAGAAAAUAGGAAGAGUCCCUUGGAAUACAGAAUAAAUUCAUUCUAUGUACAUUAUCAGUGUUGGUUCAUUAUAUUCUCAUUGGCCCACAACUCAACACAUCUUUAAGAAGCAAAAGUGCAUACACUCUCCCUUACUGACAAUAUUUAGGGGAAGACCACAUACUUUGUGAACUACUGUGAGUUGAGUUCUUGUAGUCAAAGCAGUAGUAGGUGGAGCUUCAUUCUCUGGUAUUAAAAUCCUAAAAGUGAGUAGUGUUAUUAAUUGGGGGCACUUUUGAGAUUUGAUUAAGAAAUUUACUGCUCUUGUGGGUUGUUUCCUCCCUUGUGGGAUGUUCUGGAUGAAUGUCAAGGUCUAGCCCCGGCAGAUUCCAGAAAGCUUGUCCAUCUAAAUUUGCUGUUAAGCCAUGGGAACUUUUCUAUUGCAGUCUUUGGGUCAUGGUAACGUGUAAAGCCUAGAGUUUGUUGAAGGGCACUUUUCUCUCUCUAAAAUUCUCCAUUCCUCACAACUGGUUUUUAUUAUUCCGUGACAUGCUGGGAGUGUUGCUAUGACUGUUUGAGAAGUAUGGGCAGAUAUAUUGCUGGCUGGCUUCUUACAGGAAGAGUUUCCCAUGAUGAACGGGAGCAGUGAUAGAUCACACCUACUAGAGCUGAAGUGUGGAUUGAGCCAGGACUUGAAGAGUAAAUGGAAAAUGAAAAAAAAAAAAAAAAGGCUUGGGGGAGGGUGGUUUCUUUUAUUUCUCACCUUAUUCUACUGGGCUGUUGUCUUUCCCUAAGAUCAUGGCAAAAAGUUUCAGAGAUUAUGUACAACAACUGUAUUGGAACCCUGCAACCAUUACAAAAUUGAAUUAGAAGUAAUUGGUUUUAUGCUACUCUGAGCACCCACCAUAGCUUAAACACAUACACACAUGCGUGCACGCAGGCACACACACACACAAACACACACACACGGGUGAUAAUGAAAAAUACUUUGGUGGCCUCAGGAAAUGAUAGAAUUUUCUCCCAUGUUUAGCUCCCACUCUCCUGAGGAACAGGUUGAUAGCUGUGACUAUUCUUCUUUGAUACCACACCAAAACUUAACAAGUUUCUCAAAAGUUAGUUGUGUGAUACCUGAAACAAUAUCAAUGAAUUUUUUAACUCCUUACAUUAAAAUACAUUGGUAUAUCUUUCACUAUGAAUAGGUCUUUUACCCAUCAUCAUUUUGUAACAUCACUCAUUGGUCAUUUGAAAAAUAUUGGUUCACUGAGUUAUGUUCAUUGAGUUAUGUGACAUACUUUGUUAGACAAUAUCAACGAUUUAUGUUCAUUAAUAUCACCAUUGAUCUCAUCAGAAAAGCACAAAUGUCAGACAUUAGAGCCAAUAGGGAGUCUUAGUCACCCGGUCAAUGCUAUUUGAUACAUUUCCCUAAAUGACAUGUUCUUCUUCAUGUCGUUGCAUCCACGCAAUAAUUAAAUGUACCUUCAAACACUAUUGAAGGUAGGUAGUCUUUGAGCUUAUUGCUUAAUUAGUUCAGGUUUGUCCUAUAGUUUCCCAUCACUGUGCAAUCAAUACUACUCUAGACAACAUUCCACCAAUAUUGGGAAAAGAUGCCUCCUGCCUCCACGAGUGGAUGCAGCAGAGUUCAAAUUGUGUUGUAAAUUAGUCGUAUGGGAAAUAUCAAG
Molecule: long non-coding RNA, 2840 nt
Filed under: Homo sapiens (human)
Lineage: Eukaryota; Metazoa; Chordata; Mammalia; Primates; Hominidae
Description: HSALNT0330474
Source: RNAcentral